RNAcentral lists this non-coding RNA (29 nucleotides) under Mus musculus (house mouse). The record is from RNAcentral. Lineage: Eukaryota; Metazoa; Chordata; Mammalia; Rodentia; Muridae.
UGAGGAAUUGCCUCUUUGGAUUGGCCUGU